UACGUAGGGUGCAGGCGUUAAUCGGAAUUACUGGGCGUAAAGCGUGCGCAGGCGGUUUCUUAAGUCAGAUGUGAAAGCCCCGGGCUUAACCUGGGAACUGCGUUUGGAACUGGGAGACUUGAGUGUGGCAGAGGGGGGUGGAAUUCCACGUGUAGCAGUGAAAUGCGUAGAUAUGCGGAGGAACACCGAUGGCGAAGGCAAUCCCCUGGACCUGUACUGACGCUCAUGCACGAAAGCGUGGGGAGCAAACAGG
Molecule: ribosomal RNA, 253 nt
Filed under: uncultured bacterium
Lineage: Bacteria
Description: partial 16S ribosomal RNA
Rfam family: Bacterial small subunit ribosomal RNA
Source: RNAcentral